Molecule: unclassified non-coding RNA, 270 nt
Filed under: Ambisporaceae sp.
Lineage: Eukaryota; Fungi; Glomeromycota; Glomeromycetes; Archaeosporales; Ambisporaceae
Description: partial contains 5.8S ribosomal RNA and internal transcribed spacer 2
Rfam family: 5.8S ribosomal RNA (bases 1-71)
Source: RNAcentral
GUGAAUCAUCAAAUUUUUGAACGCAUAUUGCACUCUCUGGUAUUCCGGAGAGCAUGCCUAUUUGAGGGUCAGUAGAAAUAAUAUAAAUUCUAAGAUGUCUCGGAAUUUAAAAUGGGGUGUCCAUUUUUCGUGAUCGCCUAAAAUCCAAGACAAGCUAAUUUUCUACGGAUGCGUGAUACUUUCAGUUACGUCGUGAGUAAACCAGGAAUCAUCUGGUGUUUUAUGAAUUUUGCAAGAAAUAGAAAAUUCCAUAGAUUUAUCUCAUGCGAA